GGAAAAAAAUUUUGCUAAAAUAUAACCACUGGUUAUCUCUGGAAGGGAGGAGUUCAGAUAGUUUGUUUUUUGUUUUUGUUUUGUCAUUUUAGGGCCACACCCCUAACAUAUGAAGGUUCCUGGGCUAGGGGUUGAAUUGGAGCUGGAGCCACUAGCCUACACCACAGCCACAGCAACGAGGGAUCCAAGCCGCAUCUGUGACCUACACCACAGCUCAUGGCAAUGCUGGAUCCUUAACCCACUGAGCAAGGCCAGGGAUCGAACCUGUGUCCUCUUGGAUACUAGUCAGAUUCCUUUCCCCUGAGCCACGAGGGGAACUCCCUCAAGUAGUUCUUAAUUUUCUUUGUAUUUUUCUGUAUUUGCCAGAAUUUGAGGAAUGAACAGUUAUUAUUUUCUAAUAAGAAAAAGGAGUAAGAUUUUUAAAAAAGCUGACAUCACAAAAUAGUGUGGCCUGGAGUAAAGAAUGCUUGGAUUCAGAUACUGGCUCUACCAUUCUAGAGCCUUGUGACCUUGGGGCGGGGGCAGGGGGAGCUGCUUUACUUUUCGCAUAGGAUUCUUUUGAAGAUUAAAUUAGGUAUGACAUAUGUAGGCUAGUUUUUAUAAUGUCUGUAAUGCAUUUGGUGCUUAAUAAACAUUAAUUUCCUUCCUUCUUGUUUUUCUCAUUAAUGACUAUUAUAAUAAACUCUUCCAAACAGAUAGAAAAUACCAUAAAACUAAUAAGAAAAACACAAUUAAAUACUUAGACAGUUGAACACUUGUGGCGUGGUAGUUUCAGAACUAAUUCUGCUACAGGAUAGAAAGUGAGAAUAUUCAUUAGAGCAAAACAAAGAGGUGAGGUAUUUCACUUCUGUUGAUAGGAAGAGGCAGCUAUAAAUCCUCAGUGUUGUUAGUCAGCAAUAACAUUGUGUCCUAAGUAGAGCUUAAAACAUUCUCCACAGGUUCAAUCAGAAUAGUUUUUUGAAGCUGUGUUGUAGAUAAUUUGCUGCUUUUAAUUCAUCAUGGCUGUCAAUAUCAAGAAAUAAAAGUAGUCAGGACUUGAGAAUAAUAAAUCUCAUAUUAGUAAAUCAACAUGUAAAAUGAGAUGCCUUCAUUAAUUUCAGAGGUUAUAUUUCAGUGACAUAAGCUAGUUAGGCAAAAUAGGCACCGACAUAAAAUUCUCAAAGGAUUUAACAGUUGUAUUCUUCUUACAUGCUUGUUAGAUGUACAAUAGAAAACGUAUUUGCUUUCCCCUGUUUUGCCAAGGAAGUGGCACAGACUUAAAGAGGAAGAUUAAUUGAGAUGGGCCAGUGCAGUGGCAAAGUAGGAUCUCAUCCUAGAUACACUGGACUUCUGAAGCACCAACAUUGCUGUCUCUGGUAUUGCUGCAUCUGAUGUCUUCAUAAAAGGAAACAAUUUUUUUUUCUUCUUUUAUGGCUGCACUUGUGGCAUAUGGAUGUUCCUGAACUAGGGGUCAAUUUGGAGCUGCAGUUGCAGGCCUACGCCACAGCCACAGCAACACCAGAUCCCAGCUGCAUUUGCAACCUACUCUUGCAGCUUUUAACAAUGCCGGAUCCUUAACCCACUGAUCGAGGUGAGGGAUUAAAACCUCAUCCUCACGGGUAUUAUGUUGGUUUCUUAACCCACUCAGCCACAGCAGAAACCCCAAGAAAUAGUUUUUACAGACACUAAUUCAAAAAGAUAUAUGCACCCCCGUGUUCAUAACAGCGUUCUGUUUAAUAGCCGAGAUAUAGAAGCAACCCAAGUGUCCAUCAAUAGGUGAAUGGCGAGUUUCUGCUGUGGUGCAGUGGGUUAAGAGUCCAGCUGUAGCCACUUGGGUUGCUGUGGAGAUUCAGAUUCGACCCCUGGCCCAGCACAGUUGGUUAAAAAGAUCGGGCAUUGCUGCAGCUGUGGCAUGGGUCACAGCUAUGACUUGGAUUCAGUUCCUGGCCUAGGAACUUCCAUAUGCCGUGGGUGUGGCCAUAAAAAACAACAACAAAAAAACCCCCCAAAUGAAUGGACAAAGAGAAGCUGUACUGUAUGCAGUGGAUAUAUACAGCCUAUAUAUAUGCCAUGGAAUACUACCCAGCCAUAAAAAAGAAUGAAAUGAUGCUGUUUGCAACAACCGGGAUGGACCUAGAGAAUAUUACACUCAUGAUUUUUUUUGUCUCUCAAGAGCGUCUUUAACCUUGCAGUUGUUUGACUCAUUAUAGGUUACCUAGGGAAUUUUGUGCUAUAUUUAAUGAUUUUUAGAAUGAUUCUCUUGUUUGACUCUGUCCCACGCCCCCUUUUUUUUUCUUUUCAGGGCUGCACCCGUGGCAUAGGGGAGUUCCCAGGCUAGGGGUUUAACUGGAGCUGUAGCUGCCGACCUACGCCACAGCCACACCACCAGAUCUGAGCUGUGUCUGCAGCCUACACCACAGCUCACAGCAACGCUGGACCCUUAACCCACUGAGUGAGGCCAGGGAUCGAAUCUGCAACCUCAUGGAUAUUAGUCUGGUUUGUAACCCUCUGAGUCACAGUGGGAACUCCUGACUCUGUCCCUUAUCUUAAUAGAGUCCUAUUAAUUUCCUUACCUAACUCAGUGUACUGUCCUCCACAUCAUUUGUUGUCAGAGCUGCUAAGGAACUGACAGAGAAAGUGGACUCCAGACUCCAGGACAGCAGAAACCAUGUCAGCUUUAUCCAGUAUAGACUGUGUCUUGCACAGCAGCUGGUAUGCAGUAGGCACACAGUAAAGCAGUCCAUGAGGGUGUGUAUAAGCAUAGAUAGAGCAGAAGAGACCUUGGGGUCAUAGUUGACUAGAGCCUGAGUCAUCAGCAUAUUGCUGGGGGGAGUGAGGCACAAGAAGAGGAGAGGGAAGAUUCAGCCAGGUUUUUGGAGGUGUGUGGAGAAACGAGGAAUAGUAGUAUUUUUGAAGAUUUAUAAUCUAGGCACUGUGCUAUCGGGUUUAUAUUUUGCAUCUUAUUUAAUCUGUUGAGUAUUGUGGACCAAAAAAUGUUGCCUGCCAUUCCAGUAAACAGUGAAUGUUGCCUCCAUAAGCCUCUGCAGCCUCCCUGAUGAUGUGCUCCAAGGGCAAUUCCAGAUGGAGAAAAACAGAAUUAAGAAAUUAUUUCUAUGAGCCCAGACUCUGGCACCUUCCAUUACAAAGAAAAGCACUAAAAUCAUCAACUUUUGAGACGUCUGUUUUUGUGUGAUUAGCAGUAAUCUUUUCUUUUUUUUCUUUCUUUCUUUUUUUUUUUUUUUGGCUGCCCCUUGGCAUAUGGAGUUUCCAAGCUGUAGUUGCAGCCGAUGCCGCAGGUGCGGCAAUGCCGGAUCCUUAACCCACUGUGCUGGGCCAGGGAUUGAACCUGUGUGCCAGUGCUCCCAAGGUGCAGCCGAUCCUGUCGUGUCAUGGUGGGAACUCCAGUAGUAAUCCUUGGAUGUUUCACUACAUGGUUUUUAUUGUCCCAGCCAAAACUAUAUACCUGGCUCUUCUCUUACCUCUUGUGAGCAGUUUCUCAGAGCUAUAUGAGAGGCUGUCUGUUGAUCAGGUUAUGGUCCUCAGUAAGGUCCCUGAAUAAAACAACCUGCAACUUUUAGGUCGUGUGUUUUUCUUUGGUUGACGGUGCAAACAACAGCAGCCCAACAAAAGAAAUGAUGGAAAGGCAGGAAAAUGUUUUGAUUGGCCUACAUAAGAGGAUGCUAGCAAUGACUUCAUGUAUGGCACUACUUAGAAAGUUGGUUUGUACAGGAGUUGUUGAGGUGUUGGUGGAACAUGGUAGAAUCAUUUUCAGUUAGAUUUUGGUUAGGGGUAAAUUUAAAAAUUGCAAAUAAUACUAUAAUCAAAAUAAUGACAGCUGAGACAGAAGUAAAAACAUGUUGGAUCUCAUCCUAAGAAGUCAUUUGUCUUGUAAAAUAACUGUCAGGUGGAUACUGUGGAAUGUUAGGCUUACACAGACUCUAGAAAGAAGAAUGUCUAGAGGUAAAUUUAAAAAGUUGAUGGUUAGAUAAGCUGCCUGAGAUAAGCUUUCAGAGUUUUCUUUCAGUUGGAUUCUGUGACUUGAUCAUAUUGGAAGUAAAUAAUUUUGAGGGAAGAUGUCUAAUUUUUUUUUCAUUUGCCUUUUAUUAAAUUUAGGGAUAAUUUAAAGUGAAGAUAGAAUAAGUGAUUAAAAAGAAAAUUUCCAUUGUCAAUUUAAUUUGAGGGAGCUGUAGAGGAACCAGUCCUUUGCAUUCCCCUCCCACAAAUACUUCGAGUUUUCUGCUAAGUUAUUAGUAGGUACUAAUUUGAAAACUUGUGAGUCUUUCCCUGUUAUGUUGCUGCAGCAGCUUUUAUCUUUCAGAAAGCCUUUUUACUAAAAUGCAAAGGCUGUGCUUAUAUUACAAACUUCGCAGUGUUUUCGUGUGUUAAAAAUGACCUUCACAAGAUGGAUGGAAACUUGCUGAUCAUACCUUUUAUUUAUUGUAAAAGAAAGUCUUUUUCUUCCUUUAAUGUACAAUUGGAAGAUGAAAUGAAUUGAUUUUUUUAAAGAUAAACUUCUUUGAAGGCAUGUUAAUAAAAUUUGGUGCAUCUUUCUUCUGGAGGAAAUAUUGUCAAAAUAGUUGUAUUUUACUCCUCUUUUGAUGUCUGUUGUUUAUGAGGUCGCUUUAAAAUCCUUGAGCAAAUCUUACAGGUUACUUUGAAGUCUUGAAUGCUUGAGAAGAUAAACCAAUGAAUGAACUUAAUCAGUUAAAAAUCUUACUGCUGGCAGCUUGCCUCAUAUCCAGCUUUGAAUGAUGAAUGGAAUUAGGUCUGCACAUCGUUUACGUUGUUAGUGUACAAACACCCUUGGUCUUUAACCAUGGGUUGUUUACGUGGGAGUGUGAUAAUUUUCUACUCACUUCAGAGGAUUGUGGAAAAAGUACUUUAUUGCUAUUUUUAAUCUUUUUAAUAUACAUAAACCAUUUGCUGAAUGCAAAACACCGCUGGGCCCAUAGGGAAUGAUUGGUACGUAGCAUAUCAGUGUGUUUACAGUAGAGUGUGGAAGGUGGACCUGAUUGAGGAAAAAAAGAGGGGCACUGCCAGGGGGAAAUGCUUCCUUUGAGCUGAAAAUAAAGGCAGUCACCAAGUUUCAAACUGAAGCAUUGCUGUUAUGAUGUGACUCUUCUCUUAAAAGACCCAUUUUAGUAGCAUUGUCAGUGGUAGACAUGAACCUGAGAGGAGAACAGGCUGAAGGAUGAGAUUCUUUAAAUCCCAUCCCGUGUUAUGAUUGAUCACUCUGAGCAUUAGUUUGAAAUGCUUACAGAGACAGAGGGUUGAUUUAGAAAUUACUAGAAUGGCUCAGACCAAGAGUUUAAUCUCAGUAUUUGAUUGCCACUAGUGACCUACAUUUAAAAAUAGUUCUGCUGUUAUGGGACAGUGUGAUUUUCAUCUCCAGUAGUUCCUUAAAGGUUAAGUUUUGCCCUGUUUCUUUGAGCAGUGAUUUGUAGUUUUGUCUCAUUUUUUUUUUUCCCAGUACCUUUUGGGUUUAUUUUAUACCUCUGUUUAUUGCAUUUUGAGGCAUUGGUUUUUAUAAUUUUAUUUCAUACUAUAGAAAGUAGAACUUAUGCCUUUUUCUUAUUUAUCUUAUUCAUCAUCAAAGGAUCCUACCAGUUUGAUGGUUUUGGAUUUAAUGAGUUCAAAUCUGUGUAUUAUUUAUGCUUUUAUAGAUUGUUUUUUCCCAACCAUUACCUUUUCUUUUUUAUUUUUUUGUCUUUUGUCUUUGUAGGGCUGUACCCCCAGCAUAUGGAGUUUCCCAGGCUAGGGGUCCAGUCAGAGCUACAGCUGCUGGCCUACACCACAGCCACAGCAACGCUAAAUCCGAGCCGCAUCUGUGACCUACACCACAGCUCAUGGCAACACCAGAUCCUUAACCCACUGAGCAAGGCCAGGGAUUGAACCUGCAACCUCGUGGUUCCUAGCCGGAUUCAUUUCCGCUGUGCCAUGAUGGGAACUCCCCAACCAUUCAUUACCUUUUCUAACUGUCGACUUUCUUUUUUGGAUUCCUUUUAUUUGAUUAUGCCUUAGUUGAAUUUCUUUGACCCUUCAUUAGUUCUUUCACAUUUGGGUGUUUCUCUGUGUGAAAUAUAAAUAGUUCCAUAUAUUCAAUAUUUUGUAAUAACCUAGAAGGGAAAAGAUUCUGAAAAAGGCUAUCUGUAUCUAUCUGUAUACCUAUAUGCAUAUGUAUCUAUGACUGAAUCACUGUGCUGUACACCUGAGACUAACACAUAUUGUAAAUCAGCUAUACUUCAAUAACACACACACACUUCCAACUGGAAUCAGUACUAAAGCGGACUUUAAAUCAGUUUCUGACUCAUGAACCAACUCACCCAAGCUCGAGUUGACUUUGACGUUUAAAAAACUGUGAUCCCUUUGAAGGCAGGGAUUGUAUUUAUCGAUUUAUGACCAGAGACCAAUAUAGUACCUGAUCUUGGUGGGCUGUCAAUAAAGGUUUGUUGAGUAAAUGAAUUCAUGGAAUAUUGUCAAAGGUUUAGUGAAUAUUUAAGUAGAUUAAGAGCUUGAUUUCAUUUUAUUUAUGUAAAUACUGUGAAAUGACUCCCAGUAAAUUAUUCAAGCAUACUAUCUCUUAAAACAUUUAUGACAGUAGCAGUAACUACUCCGAAACACUGGUCUUAAGCCUUUAGAGUACUAUUAUUUGAAAUCAGAAUUAAUGCGUAUCAUCCUUUGCCUGCUUGAACUGUGAGAAUGGUAAAGUAGUGGUGAUAUACUAGGCUGACAAGGAAGCAGUAACUGUUAUCCUCAUCCAUUAAUAGUGGUUUAUAAAAUGGCUAAUCCUUUUAGAAAAUAUUUUAAAAGUAUGGGAACUAUCAAAAUGUCUAUAUUAUUUGACUCAGUAUUAUAAUAUUUAGAGUCUAAUAAAGUAGUCCAAAAUAAGGAACCAGCUAUGUUUAGAAAGAUGUUAAUUGUAGAAUUAUUUAUUCAGUUGAAUUAUAUAGAGUUAAACCUUGAGUAAAUUAAUUAUGCCUCUGCCUCAAUUUUCUUAGCUACAGAAUGGAGAUAAUAGUACCUUUAUGAAAUUAUAUUAGCGUAGUAUCUGGCAUAUAUAAAGCACUCAAAUUUGGCUGCCACCGCUAUUGUGUUUUAUUAUUAUUGACACAUAGGCCUCUCAUUUUCUGGAGGCUUUGUUUUUGGCCAUGGCAUGCAGCAGCUUGAUGUGAGAGUUCCCAGACCAUGGAUCGAACCUGGACUACAGCAGUGGAAGUGCCAAAUCCUAACCACUGGGCCACCAGGAAGCUCGCUCCUGGAGACUUUUAUGUAAUUGUCCUGGGCAUUAUGUUAGGUGCAUGGGAGAAAAGUAAUUAAAAGUUGUGGUUCUUAUUUAUAGGGAACGUAAAAUUCAUUUGGUGGUAGAUAGGUUUAUAAAUUUUAAUUACAGAUCAGUUAUGUGUUAAGUGACACAAGGAAGUUACAAAAUGCUGUGAGAGCUCUAGUACAGGAAAGAUUGCAGAUUACUUUGGAUUUGUAAAGGUGGAGAGGUGACAUUUUCAUCAAGCUUUGAAGGAUAAAUAGAAUUUUUAGAAGUAAAACAAUGAGAGAGGGUAUUUCAUGAGGCAUAGGAGCAAAGACACAGGAGCAGGAAAAUAAAGCAUAGAUGAAGCGAAGUAGAGUUAUGGGAGAUAAGGCUGAGGAGAUGGGAAGGAGUACCCAUGAUGGAAUGGUUUGAAAGCCAAGAUGAAGAGUUUUUAUUUUUUUUACAUGAGACUGGUAAGUGAUGGCUUUUGUAACCUGAUUAGAGCAUGGUUUUAGGAAGAUUGAAUAAUUGCAAAAUGGUUUGCUAGAGGUAGAAGAGAUGGGAAAGUGGGAAGGCUAGUUUUUUCAUUUAUUCAUUCAUCAAAAAACAUUUGUUGCUCACUCAUGCGCCAUGUUUUAUGCUUUGUAUUGAGGAUAGUAAACUUUAUCAUAUUUACUUGAUCUAUGUUAAUGGUAUUUCAGAACAUAGGUUAAUGGAGACUGAAACUAGCGUAGUGUUUGUAGGAACGAAAGGUAGAUUAGAAGUCAAAUGCAUUAUAGAGGUGACAUGUCAGGCUGGUAAUUUUGUGUACGGAAUGAGGGAGAGGUACAAGUUAAAGACAGCUUUUCAGUUUUAAACCUGAAGAACUUGGGGACUUGGUACACUUCUUAUUCCUAAUGCACAUUGGAAAACAAAGAGGGUAAGCUAGUGGGAUAUUUUAUAUUUGAUUUAUUUCAAGUUGCCAAUGGAAAAUUAAAUUAAUUCUCUUUAGGAGGCAGUUAUCAGUGGGGAAUUGGGACUUGGGGAGUCGGGACUAGGGGUGGCCAGGCAUGUUAACAAUAUAGAUUUGUGGAGUUCCUGUCGUGGCUCAGUGGCUAACAAACCCGACUAGCAUCCAUGAGGACAUGCGUUCAAUCCCUGGCCUCACUCAGUUGGUUGGGGAUCUGGCAUUGCUGUGAGCUCUGGUGUAGGUCACAGACGCUGCUUGGAUCCUGCGUUGCUGUGGCUUGUGGUGUAGGCCCGCAGCUACAUCGCAAUUCAACCCCUAGCCUGGGAACCUCCACAUGCCGCAGGUGCGGCCCUCAAAAGACAAAAAAAAAAAAAAAA
This 8551-nucleotide long non-coding RNA is filed under the name Sus scrofa (pig). Its description in RNAcentral is "lncRNA (ENSSSCG00015037740.1)". Lineage: Eukaryota; Metazoa; Chordata; Mammalia; Artiodactyla; Suidae. The record is from RNAcentral.